CCUACGGGAGGCAGCAGUGAGGAAUAUUGGUCAAUGGACGAGAGUCUGAACCAGCCAAGUAGCGUGAAGGAUGACUGCCCUAUGGGUUGUAAACUUCUUUUAUAUGGGAAUAAAAUGUUCCACGUGUGGGAUUUUGUAUGUACCAUAUGAAUAAGGAUCGGCUAACUUCGUGCCAGCAGCCGCGGUAAUACGGAGGAUCCGAGCGUUGUCCGGAUUGAUUGGGUUUAAAGGGAGCGUAGGUGGAUUGUUAAGUUAGUUGUGAAAAUUUGCGGCUCAACCGUAAACUUGCAGUUGAGACUGGCAGUCUUGAGUACAGUAGAGGUGGGCGGAAUUCGUGGUGUAGCGGUGAAAUGCUUAGAUAUCACGAAGAACUCCGAUUGCGAAGGCAGUUCACUGGACUGCAACUGACACUGAGGCUCGAAAGUGUGGGUAUCAAACAGGAUUAGAUACCCUAGUAGUC
This 460-nucleotide ribosomal RNA is filed under the name uncultured bacterium. Its description in RNAcentral is "partial 16S ribosomal RNA". It matches the Rfam family "Bacterial small subunit ribosomal RNA", at positions 338 to 795 of the family's 1533-position model. The record is from RNAcentral.